Long non-coding RNA from Falco peregrinus (peregrine falcon), 1481 nucleotides. RefSeq lists it as uncharacterized. NCBI's taxonomy places the organism in Eukaryota, Metazoa, Chordata, Aves, Falconiformes, Falconidae. The record is from RefSeq and is a predicted model, not a curated record. The transcript is spliced from 3 exons.
UCCCGCGGCUGCUGCGCCCGGGGCGGGCCGUGCCCCCGUCCCCGCCGCAUGCAGAGGCGGCCCGGACUCCUCAGGGGGAGCGCGGGCCGGCAGCGGUUCCGCGCCCUGCGCCGCCGGGGCCUCGGGCGAAGGGCCCGGGCGGGACGCGGAGCGGUGAGGGGCAGGCAGAGCCCGUCGCAAAGCCUGCGCCCACCCUGCCUGGCAGAGCAGAAGGCCCAGCAGCAGCUGACAGCUCUUGCUUUGGGACAACUGCUGGCUUUCCCAUGGGUGCACCUGCGCUGACGAGAGUAGGCAGGGUCCUUCACCAUGUGGGAGGUGAUGAGGCCAAACCACUCUGGCCUGUAGGAGAAUGAUAACCUGUCACUUGGAUGCAGGACUCGAGGGAUAGAGAUAGGCAGAAUGAAAUUAACACAGCAGCAUCACUAUUCUUACCCCAUUUGUAGGUGUCUUGCCAGUAGUAAGAGCAGAGCAAGAGGAAUAUGACUCUCCUUUUGAUUCUGAGGUACCUUCUCUAAAGGAGGCAGGGGGGGCCCACUGGGCUUGCUUGCUUUUGGGCUCAUUUCCCUUUGCUGCUACCUGUUCAGAAGCAGGACCCUGACAUGCUGUUGCUACAGGCAAACUGUUCUCAAAGUGAGGUCGAGCUAAUAACCUGGGUCUCCCAGCAGCUGACCUCAGAGCUGGAUUUCUAGUAUAGGAUUGAAGCAGUAAGGCUUCCAGCCUGUUGCAAUCCUCCGAAAUCCCAGAAGGCUGGCGCUUGUCAGGGUUGCUGGCUUUCCAUGUCACAGCUCUCUUCUCCAGCUCCAGUCAGUGUCAAAUGUUUACCUGUAGGGCCUACAGUCUAGAUGCUUAGCUUCUGUCUAGGUCCUCUUAUCCUGGCCAGGUGUACUCUGGCCCGUUUCGAAAGCCCUGCUCAAGAGAGAGAUGCCUAACAUGCUGAUUGUUGGCCCUUUUCAUUCUUUCUGUCACCUGUUACGUUGUUACAUGACUUGGCUGAAAUGGGAGCUCUGUGCAUGGAGGCGGUUGAGGAGCCUGUGCCAGUUCUCACGUGUGUUUUUUUAAAUUAUGCAGAUAGAUUCUGAAGGUCCCAGGAAAAUGUCAGCCAGCAUGCUGCUUCCAGCUGCAGACAGACACAGAGCAGGCAUGCAGUCUGUUGGAAAGGAGCAUGGCAAUGGUAAUCUGAUGGACUAAAUGGUUACCUUUGUAAGCUUCUCUGGAGUGAAGCAGAUGGGGAAAAGCCAAGUAAAAUAAGCGCUCACAGCAGCCUUGUGCUUCUUACCUCCUUUGUAGGUGUACUGCCAGCAGCAGGAGCAGAGCAAAAGGAAGACUGACUCCUGAGAAUGAGGUUUCUGCGCUGGUGAGAGAAGAGAUUCAGCUAAAGAAGGAUGCUUCAAAUCAAGCAAGUUAUUGAGGUGACAGACAGGUGACUGUUAGAGGCUGAUGCAUGUAUUCAUGAAUAGAGCCUGUCAGCGUACAGUUCUUGC